RNAcentral lists this long non-coding RNA (795 nucleotides) under Cricetulus griseus (Chinese hamster). Its description in RNAcentral is "lncRNA (ENSCGRG00015039424.1)". Lineage: Eukaryota; Metazoa; Chordata; Mammalia; Rodentia; Cricetidae. The record is from RNAcentral.
GUGAAAAUGCCUGUUCACUUACCACUUGACAAGUAGUGUAGUGUACAGGUAGCUUCCUUCAGUAAUGGAAACUUGAUUCUUUUUCUCUCUCCCCUCUACCUUCCAGAGCUUUCACCAGUCACAAAAUGAUGGUGAACAACCUACACCUGCUUCUUAUGGAUCUUGUUCAAGUCCUGCAGAUGCAUGACUCCUAGAUGAUGCUUCUCGAAGAAAGUCUGACCUGAGGAAUUGGACAUCAUUUUGAACAAGGACCAGAAUUAAAGUAGCCUGUUAGUGCUGAAAACACUUCUUUACCUGACUCAAGAGUCCACUUUACCCUUCAUAAAAGCACCGGCAAGCGGAAAGAAAUGACAGUAAGACUGAGUUAUGAACUUUAAAAAGUUGAGAACAAGUAACUACUUGUACUGUGAAAGCUGGUCUCUCUGCUCUUGAUUGACUGUCUGAAAUAGGUCUUUGAAACCUGAAGUGUAAUGUUGUGACAUACUACGAAGAGUACUUGAGAUUGAACCUAGAGUCUUAUGAAUGCAAGGUACCUUGGGAUUUGAAGGCUUCACCAACUCCCGCUGGAAAGGAAUGGAUGAAUGAGCUAUCAUGCAGUGAUGGUUACAGAUGCCCAGUCCUCGGUGCUGCCCUGUCCAAGAUUAUUCUCCAGUCCAGCUCCUGGGUGAUCUUGCCAGUUCCAGGAUACUGCAAGGCAGAUCUGCAGCAGGGAUUCAGCAGCUGCAAACGAUGGAGGGUGUAAAGCAUCUCUGACUCACUGCAGAGGAGUAAAGAGAAGGAAAUUACCAAUGAUCU